GGUUACAUGCUCUUCGAACACGUUCAACUGUACCCGAAUGUUUAUUACCGUGUUCUGCAACCUGCGUCCGUAUCUGCUACGCCAGAGAAACGCGUUCGACUAUGAUGAAAACACAUUAACCUACCGGUGAAGCACGAUUUAUAGGAAUCGAAUAGAAUUGAUGGAAAGGAUCUGACCGGAGUGUCCUCUGCGACUCGUCCCGCCGGAAGCGGAUACACGCUUCACGAAAGACGACCACAAGUGGAACGAGCCAUGCAUGUACAGACGCAGUGGCAGUAGGUGCGCCCGUGUGUGUCAGACGGAGAACGCUUUUCUGCCGUGUAAAAAUGGACGAUAGCUGUGCUCUGUUUUUUUUUCCUUUCUCUUCUUCUUUUAAUAGCUCUUCGGUGAAAAUUAUAAAUUAUUCUUUGCGCAUCUUCACUAAAAACAAUAGAAAAAAUGUAUUUCGCUCUAAUAUUUAAUGUUCUGUUUCUUUGUUUUGUAAUACUCUUCUAGUGAGGAUUAUAAAUUAUUCUUAAGUCAUUUUUGAAUCGGAAAAGUCGAAGUUAUUGAGCAGUGAAGAUUUCACGGUAGAUCCAUCAAUGAAAACUUUCACGAACGAAAUCGAAUCGACAGCGAUCAGCGAGCUUAAUGACCCUUUUAUAAAACGUUUUAUAGCAACCAUCUAUCGAAAGUUUCCACGUUCUGCAAUCUGAAAAUGCGCUCAUGGUUUCUCUUCGAGACUUGUGUAUGAUUUAAUGGAAGAUCCCAAGAGCUAUUAUGCAACGAGGAGUCGGACCGAUGCAAUCUUCGGUAUGUAAUCAUAGUUUGAACGAUUCGCGAGUUACUGCCGCAGGACUGAUCACAUGUGUGCGUCUUUAUUGCUGAAUGUGCAGCCUACGAUCGCGUCCUCCCACCAAUGUGAGACAAAGCCUGUAAGGAUACAGGGAUAAGUAUCGUUACAUGUGCCAAGCCACAGGGAUAGUCAUAAUGUAAGCAUUGAACCGGCGACGGUGCCUGAACUGUCCAUUGUAUUCCGUAGCCGGAGUCGCAGGUUCGGCUAGCCUUGAAGCAGUGAACCUCCCAGCGCGACAAGAUGAUGCAUUGUUACAAUGCGCGGGCCUAUAGUUGCCCUUUAGGGUCACGCAGAAAAUCGCAAAGGUUAAGAGGUAUCAACGUAGGUGCAUCUAUGUAUGUACACCCCAAGAUGUAUAAAACAGCCAACAUUUGGAUUUCGAUGGCAUCAAACAAUUCCAUUUAUUCACAUUACACGCACAAAUAAAAUCAAAUAAUUGUAUCAUAAGAAAAUUGGUCGUAUGUAUGACAAAUAUAACAAAUAAAUACGCGACAACAUAUAUUAUGUAAAUACUUUAUAUAAAACACAUAAAUAAUACACAAAUGUGAAACCUUGAAGGUGGAGUCACAGGAUGCAAUUUGGGUCACACUGAGGUCACGGAACUUGACUUCCAUGUUCUCAGAACAGUACAAAUCGAAUCUAACUACCCUGAGAUUGUGGGAUCUAAGUCGAACCAUGAUUGUGGGACCUCUAUAACCUCGAGGUGGCAGAAUCCGAAUUCGAUCACCUCGAGGUCGUAUGACUCAAAUCGAAGUUAGCAGGCAUAGGCUAUCAUAACACUAUAUGUACAGAGGUCAACGGAUCUAAGUUUGACUAGUUUGGUAUAAACGAUACGAUUCUGAAGUAUUCUCGUAAUUUUGAAGGUGUUGAAGUAAAAUUCUAUAGUCCUGAAAUCUUCCCCAUUGUGUCCUACAACAACAAGAUCCCAAAUAAAUCUCGUGUC
Molecule: long non-coding RNA, 1778 nt
Organism: Bombus huntii
Lineage: Eukaryota; Metazoa; Arthropoda; Insecta; Hymenoptera; Apidae
Exons: 4
Source: RefSeq, a predicted model, not a curated record